ACUCAGCAGUGUCCCUUUCACCUUAUCUUAGAACAUGCCAAGACUAAUCUGGUCUCUUCAGAUAAUUGGAUAAGAUCCUUGAUACUGACUAAUUCUAGUAAUGAUGACGCAGUACUUCUAUGUCUCAUGUCUCCACAAAAAUCAUUAUAAAAUUUGUUAGCGGGUAAAAAGAAUCAUUAUACAUCGAUCAAGAUAUGUUCUUUUUCUUAAGGCUAUGCUUCAUGCAUAUCAGUUGCGUGCCAGAGAAGGCUUGUGGUCGAUUGGGUCCCAGCUUCUGACCUCGACGAAGAGACUGCGAAUCAGGUCUCGCGAGUUCUGUUAUACCUUUUGCUUUCACCAUCACUAGAGGGUGCUGUCAUGAUCUAGGCCUUGUUUAGUUGCUAAAGUUUGGAGGUGCCAAAUUACUGUUACAAUACUGUAGCACACUGUAGCGUUUCGUUUGUAUUUGUGAAUUAUUGUCCAAACAUUGACUAAUUAGGCUCAAAAGAUUCGUCUCGCAAAGUACAACAAAACUGUGCAAUUAGUUUUUAAUUUUGUCUACAUUUAGUACUCCAUGCAUGUACCGCAAGUUUGAUAUGAUGGGAAAUCUUUUUUUUGCAUAGUGCCAAAGUUGGGAGUUGGGGGUGAACUAAGCCCUUGUUUACUUCCCUCCAAACUCCCAACUUUGACACUAUGCAAAAAGAAGAUUCCCCAUCACAUCAAACUUGCGGUAUAUGCAUGGAGUACUAAAUGUAGACGAAAUCAAAAACUAAUUGCACAGUUUUGUUGUACUUUGCGAGACGAAUCUUUUGAGCCUAAUUAGUCAAUAUUUGGACAAUAAUUCACAAAUGCAAACGAAACGCUACAGUGUCGCAUUUAUGGCAAAAUAUCAAUUUUGCAACUCCCAACUUGGAAAGUAAACAAGGCCUAAACAAGGGCCUAAUCCUUACGCCUCUCUGAAUGUGCUGUUGCUUGCAGUCACCUGACCUCCAUGAGAAGGCACGGAGCUUGCUGAAGGUGACACUCACGAGACUACAAGCAGCAAACUACUGUAGAUGUCAUAGAGCACUGUGAGUUGAGUGUAACAGUGCGGAGUUUGACGCUGGCACGAGAUAU
RNAcentral lists this long non-coding RNA (1095 nucleotides) under Setaria viridis. RNAcentral describes it as "long non-coding RNA (SVIR_LNC005340)". The record is from RNAcentral. Lineage: Eukaryota; Viridiplantae; Streptophyta; Magnoliopsida; Poales; Poaceae.